Molecule: long non-coding RNA, 1132 nt
Organism: Neofelis nebulosa (Clouded leopard)
Lineage: Eukaryota; Metazoa; Chordata; Mammalia; Carnivora; Felidae
Exons: 5
Source: RefSeq, a predicted model, not a curated record
GGCUCUCGACACCAUUCUUGGAUUUAGAGGACCGCUCCCGAGGGGCAUGUUCAUCGUCGUCUGUGGAGGUGCAGGAAAGCAGGUGGGAGGGCCUAUGAAGUUGAAAGUGGCAGAGAGUUUCUCAGGACUUGAGAGAUGAUGGUCCACCCACCAGCAAGCCCCACUGCCUUGAGUACGUGGGCAGGGGCAGACCGGGCAGAGAUGAGGUGCUGCUGCAGGAGGAAGCGGGCGACCUCAACGAUGGAACUGAAGGACCGUUUCAGGAUUCGUUCUGCCCAGUCACAGACACCAGUGUCAACCACAGCAAGACCAGACUGCAGAUGGGAGUAACUCACCCCAGGAACCCACAAAUUCUCUUCACCAUCUGCCUGAGCCAUCGGACUACCACUUCAGCAGUGCUGGACCAAAUCACUCGGCCCAGAAUCCACCUUUUCCAGGUCACAGAGAGAUGAACUAAGAUGCUCAAGGUCAAACUGGCAGCAAGUUGCAAAGCCAAUUAUCUUCUGACGGGGAAGACAACACUGCUUGUCCCACAGAAACCUUUCAUUUAGGCAUACCCUCUUCCUCCUCCUCCCCCCUGCACCAACUCCAUCUCUCUACUGCCCUCUUCCCAAAAACACUUACCAGGAUCCCCUCGACUUUGUUCUGCACGGCCUUGCUGUGGAGGAGAGGAGAAAGCUGGAGGUCACACACAAGAUUUUCCCUGGUGUCUUACUGUUAGGGAGAGGAAGAGGGCUGAGAGGCCUGGCAGGUGCUCAGCAACGGCUACCAUGAUGGAGAAUCUCCCAGUGCUCACAGGCACUUGCUCAGGGAGAGGCAGUUCAUCUACAGAGGAAGUGAAGUGCUACGGUUCUGGAGCAAGACUUGGAGGUGGUGAGGAGUACUUACGAAAUGGUACCUCGGAGCCUCUGAAGAAGGGUGGUGGGUUCUCCCGCCUCAGCACUACCUGAGGGGGCCCGUCCCCCAGUCUUGGGGCUCUUAGCGUCGGGUUCAUCUUCUGCCAUCCUGGCAUGAGGGCUAGAGUUGAGAGGAGACACGACGGGAAGAUUCAACCUCCCUUCCCCUGGAGCCACCCGCCACUCCCCAGGCGCUCCUCGUCUCCCUACCCAGAAACACAGAGAAACAGAAAGCC